RNAcentral lists this long non-coding RNA (333 nucleotides) under Amborella trichopoda. RNAcentral describes it as "long non-coding RNA (ATRI_LNC000670)". Lineage: Eukaryota; Viridiplantae; Streptophyta; Magnoliopsida; Amborellales; Amborellaceae. The record is from RNAcentral.
AACCAUUAAGUCGGGUGGUGGGGAUCAGUCGAUUCAUUGCCAAACUUAUCCAUCCUUCCCGAUAGAGGGAAAGGUCAGAGUGAGUUGUCCAUUCAUUUCUCCCCCGCCUUUAUUGACCGCAGAUUAAACUCCUUGAACGGAUCAAUCACCUCUUACUGGCUAGCCCAAGUACCGCGAGUCAACCAUCAGCCUUUUAUGGGUGGGAAGGGAAUAGAUGUCUAAAUAAAGCAACUGAAUGAAUUUUGUUGGGUAAGAAUCGAAAUGACUUCUCGACUGAUUACUGGCCGACUCCACUGUAGGAGCCAACAGCCGCUCAUCCGAUAGAGUGAGGAG